UCCUCAGACUCUAAGCUGUUAACUAUCUCCGUGUCAGAUUCAUCAGUGUGUGUAGACUGUGUUGGAAGGUGGAAGGGGUAGCCUCCUGGAUCACUCUUGCCAUCUUUAUUAUACAAAACAUGGGAAACAGCCUGGAAAGCCAUUUCUGUGAAGGCAUUUGAACAUGAAGAUGGGAAGAAGAGAACCGUCUCUACUUUUUGAGAUGGAACUUGAAAAGCAAGUCUUACUAUUUGCAAAGUUGUGUGAUGGAGGUCAUUCACAAGGAUGGCAUGGGGGAGUUUAAAUCUCUUGGAAUUUGAUUACACAGCACAUUCCAGCUAUCUGCCCCAGCAGGCCCCUCUAUCAGGACUUGCUGAUUACUACUUAUGCAUUGUUUCAAAGUGAGCCCUUGAAGGCUUUCAUUUAAUACAGAUUAGUACCUUUAUUAAACAGUGGUUAAUUGAA
Pseudopipra pipra is the source of this 444-nucleotide long non-coding RNA. RefSeq lists it as uncharacterized. The record is from RefSeq and is a predicted model, not a curated record. Lineage: Eukaryota; Metazoa; Chordata; Aves; Passeriformes; Pipridae. The transcript has 4 exons.